This 395-nucleotide ribosomal RNA is filed under the name uncultured bacterium. RNAcentral describes it as "bacterial SSU rRNA". It matches the Rfam family "Bacterial small subunit ribosomal RNA", at positions 505 to 898 of the family's 1533-position model. The record is from RNAcentral.
GUGCCAGCCGCCGCGGUAAUACAGAGGGUGCGAGCGUUGUCCGGAAUCACUGGGCGUAAAGGGCGCGUAGGUGGCCCGACAAGUCAGUGGUGAAAGCUCGAUGCUCAACAUCGAGUCGGCCACUGAUACUGUUGGGCUGGAGCACUGUAGAGGCUCAUGGAAUUCCGGGUGUAGCGGUGGAAUGCGUAGAGAUCCGGAAGAACACCGGUGGCGAAGGCGGUGAGCUGGGCAGUUGCUGACACUGAGGCGCGACAGCGUGGGGAGCAAACAGGAUUAGAUACCCUGGUAGUCCACGCCGUAAACGAUGGGCACUAGAUGCUUGGGGGAGCGACCCCCUGAGUGUCGACGCUAACGCAUUAAGUGCCCCGCCUGGGGAGUACGGCCGCAAGGCUGAA